GCUGGGUACUGUGGUGCAUGCCUGUAAUCCCAGAGGCUCAGGAGGCUGAGGCAGGAGGAUUUAGAGUUCAAAGACAGUCUCGGCAAUUUAUCGAGGCCUUAAGCAACUCAGUAAGAUCCUGUAUCUA
RNAcentral lists this small RNA (127 nucleotides) under Marmota monax (woodchuck). Lineage: Eukaryota; Metazoa; Chordata; Mammalia; Rodentia; Sciuridae. The record is from RNAcentral.